RNAcentral lists this ribosomal RNA (1325 nucleotides) under metagenome. RNAcentral's name for it is "bacterial LSU rRNA". It matches the Rfam family "Bacterial large subunit ribosomal RNA", at positions 1561 to 2925 of the family's 2925-position model. The record is from RNAcentral.
AGUGGAUGGGGAGCAACCUAGUUGUGCGUGUGUAAAGGUAGUGCCAAGAAAAGCGAUGAUCAUGUUGGAAAUCAAUUCCCGGUACCCGAAACCGACACAGGUGGGCAAGUAGAGAAUACUAAGGGGCGCGAGGUAACUCUCUCCAAGGAACUCGGCAAAAUGACCCCGUAACUUAGGGAGAAGGGGUGCCACCGAGAGGUGGUCGCAGUGAAGAGGCCCAGGCGACUGUUUAGCAAAAACAUAGGUCUCUGCAAACUCGAAAGAGGAGGUAUAGGGGCUGACGCCUGCCCAGUGCCGGAAGGUUAAAGAAGUUGGUCAGUUUUAGGAUGAAGCUAGCGACUGAAGCCCCGGUGAACGGCGGCCGUAACUAUAACGGUCCUAAGGUAGCGAAAUUCCUUGCCGGGUAAGUUCCGACCCGCACGAAAGGCGUAACGAUCUGGGCGCUGUCUCGGAGAGAGGCUCGGCGAGAUAGGAUUGUCUGUGAAGAUACGGACUACCUGCAUUUGGACAGAAAGACCCUAUGAAGCUUUACUAUAGCUUGGAAUUGUGUUCGGGCUUCCUGUGCGCAGGAUAGGUGGGAGGCGUAGAAGGUAUUCUUGUGGGGAUACUGGAGCCAACGGUGAGAUACCACUCUCAGGAGGCUAGAAUUCUAACUUAAUUAAGGACAGUUUCAGGUGGGUAGUUUGACUGGGGCGGUCGCCUCCAAAAAGGUAACGGAGGCGUACAAAGGUUCCCUCAGACUGGUUGGAAAUCAGUCGAAGAGUGCAAAGGCAGAAGGGAGCUUGACUGCGAGAAGUACAGUUCGAGCAGGGUGGAAACACGGUCUUAGUGAUCCGACGGUGCUGUGUGGAAGGGCCGUCGCUCAACGGAUAAAAGUUACUCUAGGAUAACAGGCUGAUCUCCCCCAAGAGUUCACAUCGACGGGGAGGUUUGGCACCUCGAUGUCGGCUCAUCGCAACCUGGGGCGGAAGUACGUCCCAAGGGUUGGGCUGUUCGCCCAUUAAAGCGGUACGUGAGCUGGGUUCAGAACGUCGUGAGACAGCUCGGUCCAUAUCCGAUGUAGGCGUGAGAAUAUUGAGAGGAGCCUUCCUUAGUACGAGAGGACCGGGAAGGACGCACCGCUGGUGUACCUGUUAUGAUGCCAAUUGUAAACGCAGGGUAGCCAAGUGCGGAGAGGAUAACCGCUGAAAGCAUCUAAGUGGGAAGCCCACCUCAAGAUGAGUAUUCUGGUGUAAGGUCACGGGAAGACGACCCGUAAAUAGGCACGAGGUGGAAGUGCAGAGAUGUAUGAAGCCGAAGUGUACUAAUAGACCGUCGGCUUGACC